Molecule: small RNA, 837 nt
Filed under: Pongo abelii (Sumatran orangutan)
Lineage: Eukaryota; Metazoa; Chordata; Mammalia; Primates; Hominidae
Description: processed transcript
Source: RNAcentral
GGAUGCUUUGAAAAAAUGUCAUGAAGUAGAAAGGCACUCUCCUUCCACAUGGACCACAGGAGGAAAAGAGCCGCAAAUGCACCCCUGAGGCAGUCCUCAGCAGCCCUCAGUUGUGGGGGCAGUCGGCACCACUGUUCCCAUCCUGACGCAGUAUAGAACCACAGGCAUCGUAGUCAGCAUUUUUUUGAGAUAACUGAUGACCAAUUCGACUUCCAUACAUACUGCAUGAGAAAGAUGACCCUUCGUGCCUAUGUUGACCUUUUGAGAUUAGAAGAUAUACUCAGAAGACAUGCCUUUUAUUUCAAGGCUGCUAGAUCAGCGAUUGAAAUAUACUUGAAAUUGUAUGAUAAUCCCUUAACCAAUGAAAGCAAACAACAAGAAAUAAACUCAGAAAACCUGUCAGCCAAAGAAUUGAAGAAAAUGCUUAGCAAGCAGAGAAGAGCUCAGAAAAAGGCUAAACUAGAAGAAGAAAGAAAGCAUGCAGAAAGAGAACGUCAACAGAAAAAUCAAAAGAAAAAAAGAGAUGAAGAAGAAGAAGAAGCCAGUGGCCUUAAGGAAGAACUUAUACCUGAAAAAUUAGAAAGGGUAGAAAAUCCAUUAGAGGAAGCCGUUAAGUUCCUUAUACCUCUUAAGAACCUUGUUGCUGAUAACAUUGACACUCAUCUGUUAGCAUUUGAAAUAUAUUUUAGAAAAGGAAAGUUUCUGUUAAUGCUGCAGUCUGUCAAACGAGCUUUUGCCAUCAACAGUAAUAACCCAUGGUUACAUGAAUGUUUAAUUAGAUUUUCUAAAUCUGUGUCUAAUCAUAGUAAUCUUCCAGACAUUGUGAGCAAAGUUCUA